ACGUAGGUGGCAAGCGUUAUCCGGAAUUACUGGGCGUAAAGGGCGUGUAGGCGGGAAGACAAGUCGGGAGUGAAAUCCCAGGGCUUAACCCUGGAGCUGCUUCCGAAACUGUCUUUCUUGAGUGUCGGAGAGGAAAGUGGAAUUCCCAGUGGGGCGGUGUAAGGCGUAGAGCUUGGGAGGAGCAGCAGAGGCGAGGGGAACUAUCAGGACGAAAUCCGACGGUGGGGCGCGAAAUCGUGGGAAGAUGUGGG
RNAcentral lists this ribosomal RNA (251 nucleotides) under uncultured prokaryote. RNAcentral describes it as "partial 16S rRNA". It matches the Rfam family "Bacterial small subunit ribosomal RNA", at positions 525 to 775 of the family's 1533-position model. The record is from RNAcentral.